UGCUGACCAGGGUGCAGAGUCGCCGACGGGGGAUUCGGCGUCUACUGGGUUUUAUACGAUCUCUGAUGCGCCGGGAAGAAGAUAUUUUGGAGCUGCGGCGUUGGCUGUGGGGGCAAUGGUGGCGGGCUUUAUUUUGGUUGUUGCUUGACGAUAGACGGAUUGGUAAACCUGACUGAUAAUAGAGAGUGGAGUAGAGAGAUGGGGAGCGGAAUUGACAUUUUUUGUUUGUUUGUUUGGAGGGGUAUUCUUAAUAUAGGUAGUAGUUAGAGAAAGAUUGGGAGUUUAUUUGCUGGUUUCGUGGCUAAUUCAUGUGCUCGGUAUGUAAGUUAUCAGGCUAUAUAGAUAGAUACGAUUAUUGUUUUUAAUUGGAGCAGAUAUUUAGUAGUUAUGGUUCUGUUG
Long non-coding RNA from Asparagus officinalis (garden asparagus), 399 nucleotides. RefSeq lists it as uncharacterized. The transcript has 2 exons. NCBI's taxonomy places the organism in Eukaryota, Viridiplantae, Streptophyta, Magnoliopsida, Asparagales, Asparagaceae. The record is from RefSeq and is a predicted model, not a curated record.